Molecule: RNA transcript, 3372 nt
Organism: Felis catus (domestic cat)
Lineage: Eukaryota; Metazoa; Chordata; Mammalia; Carnivora; Felidae
Gene: CCER1
Gene name: coiled-coil glutamate rich protein 1
Exons: 4
Source: RefSeq, a predicted model, not a curated record
CUCACAAACCGUGAGAUCAUGACCUGAGCCGAAAUCAAGAGCUGGAUGCUUAACUGUCUGAGCCACCCAGGUACCCUAAAAAGAUACUUAAGUGUCAUGUUCCCUUGGGUGAGGUACAAGUAUAGAACCUCAUGGGAGCCCAGACCCUGCCAUAGCACUUUCGGUGUGGGGCUUGCAUUCCUCACCCCCUAUUCAUCCCCAAGUCCAUACGUAGGCCCUCAGUGGGGGCAGCAACAGUCACUGAUCGGUAGGGGUAGUGGGGUGCGGGAAGCAGGUGGCUGAGGCCUUGUCCAGGGAGGCAGGGAGGCAGGACAAUAGGUGAGCCGAGGUUCUAAGCUCUCACACAUUCUCCACCGUCCCAUCAGAUUUCAUUUACAAAACAAAUUGAAAGGUAAGAUUAUAAGAAUUUGAAGGCAAUGUCCACAGAGUGUUAGAGAGCAAGGCCCCGUUUGAGGGCAUUAGGAGCACACUCUGGAAGCUCACCUGCCCCGUGAGGGGAGGCCUUCCCCGCAUCUCAGUCUUUUCUCACAUGGAACCUUCUGUCUUAAAUCCGGUGCUCCUCCAAGGGACGCGGCUUCCCUUGAAGCUGUCUGAACAUACACUGCUUAUUCUCUCAAGUUCAUGAAGACCAGCGUGAGGGUGGGAGGCAUAACUCCUGCUCUGCAAUGCUGCCCACUUGUAAACCAUGACUCUCAGCCUAAUGUGAGUAAGCACCACAGCAAGCGCAUGGCCAAGGCCCUUCCACACUUUUCCUUUUCAUCGAUCAGGCACCCAUACACUCUCCAACUUGCAGGGAUCAUUGUAUCGUCUCCAGAGCCCAAUCUUCCUCAUCACCCCAAACCUUGCCAAACCCCCAUCUCUGCUGGAAACCCAUGCCAUAAUAGCUAUUUCACAGGCCCCUGGCCUCCACCCCACUUGUCUUCGUGUCUGCCAUGUCACUUAAUUUUGUUGUCAUAUCUCAGUCUUGCCAUAAUCAGGGGCCACAAGACCAGUAAAAUCUUAAAUGUUCCUUGUCUAUGGCAACUCUCUUCUCUUAUUUUGUUCUCUAGCCCUGAAGAGCUGCUCUUCAAGAGAAGCACAACUUUUUAGGGACGAGCAAGAGAAUGGCUUCUUGCGAUGGAGUAGAGAGCAGGUUUUGAUUUGGGCUGCAGGGUUUUAAAUUGUCCCAUAUCAAAUUGUCUCGUGUUUCAUGUUUUAGUACUUCUGUAGUUGAUGUCUUGUGCUUUUGAUAGUGUUAUCACAUUUCCAACUGUUUUAUACAUACACACGCAGACACACACACACACACAAUUUCCAUUCUAGAAACUGGAGGAAAGAAAACACACUUUCUUCUCCACACUCCAUCCUGCCAGCUCUCUCCAUGGAGGCCCACCACACAUUUUUCUUAGAUUUCACUGAGACUCUCAGACCCACUAACACUCAUUUUUCUUUCACUCUGCCAAAUCCUUCCUGGCUUCAUUUUAAUUAGUAAUAUGUCUAAAUUUCACCAUCUAUCACUUGACCUGCUUUCUUGAAAAUAUCCUCAAAUCCUUUGUUGUUGUUGUUGUUGUUGUUGUUGUUGUUGUUGUUGGUUGCAUCAGCCCAGAAAACCAGGAACUCAGGGUCACUAACAAUGAUUAAAAAUAGUACUAAACAUUCCAUGCUUCAUAUGUCUCACCUUGGUUUUAUCUAAUUUACUCUUCGCAGUGAUCUUAUGAGGUGGCUAUAAUUAUCCUCAAUUUACAGAGAAGGAAACUGAGGACUGGCAAGACUCAGGUGACCUGUUCACAUUAUUUCUGAAGUUAGAAUGUGUGCUUCCCAAACUUGAAGUACAGCCCAAUAAACCUCCUGCAAGCAAAUUUCCAUCUCAGAAGUUCUUUCCUUGGGAACCCAAUCUAUGCCCACCACCAACAAAAAUCAUGUCAAACAGUAGGCGCUUCAACAAAUAUCAUUUCAAUAACUAGGUGAGAAUAUGAAGAAGGAAAUAAAUGAAGACACUUACCUUCAUCAUCCCUGGGACAAUAUACAUGAGAGUAAAGAUGGGGAACGCAAAAACAGUCAUUAUGGACACAGGUUAAAUAGACUAAAUAGAACUAUAGUCACAGACUGCUUGAUCAGAAAAAUAGUGGAAUAUACCAAUCUGCUCAGACAUGAAGUAUGUUACGAAGAAUGGUGGCUUCAGCAAACAUUUGCUACAGACAAGGGACUACUUUAAUGUACGCCUAUUGUGAAAAUGAUUAUAAAGGAUGGUUCUUUCAAGCAGUCCUCUGUUAUUGCAUAUACACAAUCAGAUUAUAAACAUUUUCUGUAAGGCCAUGUUUGAAACAACUCUGUGGAUGUGAAGUUAUAAAAUAACAACAGUGUUCAGUUUGAUUCUUUUGGGACGUGACUCAAUAUGCAGUUUCAGAAACACAAACUGAACUUCUCAUUAUUACUCAGUGGGCGUGAUCUUAAAGCCCGCCGUCGGCCUAUCGGUUGAACUCUCUAAACCGAUAAAAGGGUGCUGCAUUACUGAAGACACAGCACAGGCAAGAAAAACUUUCAGAGCUUCAAGCCAUGAAAAUUACAUUUCACUUCUGCCCUUUUAAAAAUGUGUAUGAGAUCCAGCCAUAGACCGUCUCACAGCAGAGUCAACAUGCCUUUCCAGGCUUUACUACCAAGCAAGGGUUUUAUAAUGCAGGCAAAUUAUAAUGCAGAUAUGUAUUAAAACUGUUGAAUGAGGACAAUUUGUACCUUGUACUUUCCAAGAAUUUUUCCAAGAGACUUUUGUUCUUUUUUGUUACAGAUCUAGGCAAAAUUAAAUAAAAGUUGAUAGCUUGAGGAAACAAACUUUACAAAAGGCAAGCUAAUUAAAAUAUUGCUGAACACUGAAGAAAUUUUGACAGAUGUCUUAUUUCGGCAUUAAUUCACAACUUCAGACCUUAACGAAAAUUCUACUCCGUCUUUUGUUCUUGCCGAUAUCCAAACCCUCUCACCCUCUGCCUUGUGUAAAAGUGUUUCCAGGCAACCCCAUCAUAACUAUUGCUUUUGUCUCAUACCCUUUGUCCACCUCAAUUCUUUUGUCAUUUCUGUUACAUAGAUAGGCAACUCCAACUAUACCUUUGCUACUUACGGAACCUAUCUGGCAUUGAUUCAUCCUAUCUAAUCCUAUUCUCUCGCAUUCAUAAUGGGUAAAAACAUAAAAAUACAUAAAUAAAUCUCUCUUCCCCCACAACUAUUUUUGAGGCCCUUUCCUUUAUCACCUUUAUCUGUCUUGCAGAUAAAUAAACACUCCUAUUCUCCCCUGCCUUUAUUUUUUCUCUAAUGCCAAACUAGAAGUUAUGGCAGGGGUCAGCCUCCUCUGUACUUCAUACUGCUACUUCUUUUUAAAUUUUUUAACAUUUAUUUAUUUUU